RNAcentral lists this transfer RNA (74 nucleotides) under Sulfurirhabdus autotrophica. It matches the Rfam family "tRNA". From Rfam's summary of the family: Transfer RNA (tRNA) molecules are approximately 80 nucleotides in length. Their secondary structure includes four short double-helical elements and three loops (D, anti-codon, and T loops). Lineage: Bacteria; Pseudomonadati; Pseudomonadota; Betaproteobacteria; Nitrosomonadales; Sulfuricellaceae. The record is from Rfam by way of RNAcentral.
AGGCGGUUAGCUCAGCUGGUUAGAGCGUCUGGUCGACAUCCAGAAGGUCGGAGGUUCGAGUCCUCUACCGCCUA